UACGUAGGGAGCUAGCGUUGUUCGGAAUUACUGGGCGUAAAGCGCACGUAGGCGGCUUUUUAAGUCAGGGGUGAAAUCCCGGGGCUCAACCCCGGAACUGCCCUUGAAACUGGAGAGCUAGAAUCUUGGAGAGGCGAGUGGAAUUCCGAGUGUAGAGGUGAAAUUCGUAGAUAUUCGGAAGAACACCAGUGGCGCAGGCGACUCGCUGGACAAGUAUUGACGCUGAGGUGUGCAAGCGUGGGGAGCAAACAGG
RNAcentral lists this ribosomal RNA (253 nucleotides) under uncultured bacterium. Its description in RNAcentral is "partial 16S ribosomal RNA". It matches the Rfam family "Bacterial small subunit ribosomal RNA", at positions 524 to 776 of the family's 1533-position model. The record is from RNAcentral.